This is a long non-coding RNA of Platichthys flesus (European flounder), 1694 nucleotides long. RefSeq lists it as uncharacterized. The transcript has 3 exons. The record is from RefSeq and is a predicted model, not a curated record. Lineage: Eukaryota; Metazoa; Chordata; Actinopteri; Pleuronectiformes; Pleuronectidae.
CCCCCGCUGCACCUCCGCUGUGAGACAUGAAUAACAACUGAGAGCUCUUUGUCGAAGCCGCGCUGCAAACAAGCGAUAACGAUGUCAGAGUUUAAUUCCCACAUCACGGCUGAGAGAUUUAAACCGUCACGCAGAGUGUCCCUCCGGGCGACAGGUGAGGCUCUUGACCACACCAGAAACUCAAUUAUCCCUCUAACGCUCCUCUGUGGAGCUGGUGAGCUAGUGGUGGGCUCCUCUGUGGAGCUGGUGAGCUAGUGGUGGGCUCCUCUGUGGAGCUGUGGGACCAGUGGGGUUUAAGGAAGGCGUGAGCAGCAUAAUUUAUCCAGGACUGAGUCACACAAGCGUCCACAUCCACAGCUCUGACCCCUCUCGACCUGUGGAGCCAUGAGUCCACUAUUUUGGAUAUAUGAUAUGAACAUAUGAUGCACCUUGUUCCCUUUAAACACUCAGUUUGUUUUAUUUUUCCGUACCGAAAUUGCAGUGUGCUCACUUGUUUUGGUGAAAACAGGAGCGGUGGAAACUUUUGCUUUGGAAACAACUCGCUGACAGGAACUGAACGGAGAGUAGAGGAGGAUUCUUCUCACCCAGGAUGAGGCUGUUGUGGAAUAACUCAUGGGAUCUACCAUUACCGUGAAACAGGAUUUCUUGUUGUAAUGAUUCGGGGCUUGACAAAUUUGAAAUAGACAUGAAACUAUGUUUUAUUGAUGUGCAUAAUCUUUUGGUAGCACAGAUUUCAGUGAAAUAACACAAUUGAAAAUUCCUCCAAGAAAGAACGACACAUGUGAUAUAGAUAAAAUCUCUUUUCUUCUCAAAACACCGGGGAUAAAGAACCAUCACCGUCCAAAAGGAAAAACUGAAUCUGAAGUCGUCUUUUUAUAUAUUUACAUCACACGUUUUAUUAAUGUGUUUCAAUCUUAGUGUGUUUUAUUUGUUGGAGUCUCUCAGCAGCUCUCCCCUGACGCCAGCGUGUUUGUGUUCCGCUGCUGCAGCUUAAUGAGAUGCACACACACACACAAACACACACACACACACACACACACACACACACACACAGCUCUUCGUUGACAGAAACCAAACAGAGUUAUUUUAGUGCCAUUGUCCUGAGAAACAAACGGUGAGAAGAGCACCACAUGUUUCUGUCCGUUCAGGUUCACUCGCUCUGCAGCCGCCGGACCCGUCGCAGCUCACUGACACUGAAGGUGACGGAGAAACAAAGAACCAGACUGAACAGAAGCUCACAGCGAAUGUUCACAAGGAAUGAAACAAAUAAACUGUGAUGUUAUACUCAGGAAUGAUUUGAUAGAUAUGAGGGAAUCACAUUGAAUACAAUGUUCUUUUGAAGUAAUUUAAAAAUGGGAAAUUGUCUUGUCAUGUGAUGGUUUCUGUCAUUUUAAUGUGUUUCUGAUAAGUUUGGUCUUAAUUAGUUAUUUGGGUGAAACGUCUUGAUUGGCACCUGGGACUCACUCGUGAUUGGUCGAGCUUGUGCAUCGCCGGGACCGUGACUCUGUGGCUCCGCCCCCUGAUCACUACUUCACAGACUCCAAAUGACAUCACCACUACAAGUAAACCCCCCCGCUCGGAGUCGUCCAUGAUUCAAACGUGACAGGGAAGAAAAAGCUGCUUUCAGGCCUCGGAUCAGAGGAAACGUGUUCAGGCCGACAGACGUGAGACGUGAGGACAUGUGGAAGAGAGAC